Orcinus orca (killer whale) is the source of this 142-nucleotide long non-coding RNA. RefSeq lists it as uncharacterized. The record is from RefSeq and is a predicted model, not a curated record. The transcript has 3 exons. Lineage: Eukaryota; Metazoa; Chordata; Mammalia; Artiodactyla; Delphinidae.
GGGUCACAGACGACAUCCAGAGAAGGCAACAAAAACCUACCACUUAAAGGCAACAGGGUCUAACCGUAGGUAUUUGGUUUGGGGAAAAGAGAGUUGAGAGCAAUGUUGGGCCAAGCGUAAAGGGGAUCAAAGGCAUGGAGAC